Molecule: ribosomal RNA, 491 nt
Filed under: Vreelandella venusta
Lineage: Bacteria; Pseudomonadati; Pseudomonadota; Gammaproteobacteria; Oceanospirillales; Halomonadaceae
Description: bacterial SSU rRNA
Rfam family: Bacterial small subunit ribosomal RNA
Source: RNAcentral
UUAGAGUUUGAUCCUGGCUCAGAUUGAACGCUGGCGGCAGGCCUAACACAUGCAAGUCGAGCGGUAACAGGGGUAGCUUGCUACCCGCUGACGAGCGGCGGACGGGUGAGUAAUGCAUAGGAAUCUGCCCGGUAGUGGGGGAUAACCUGGGGAAACCCAGGCUAAUACCGCAUACGUCCUACGGGAGAAAGGGGGCUUCGGCUCCCGCUAUUGGAUGAGCCUAUGUCGGAUUAGCUAGUUGGUGAGGUAAUGGCUCACCAAGGCGACGAUCCGUAGCUGGUCUGAGAGGAUGAUCAGCCACAUCGGGACUGAGACACGGCCCGAACUCCUACGGGAGGCAGCAGUGGGGAAUAUUGGACAAUGGGCGGAAGCCUGAUCCAGCCAUGCCGCGUGUGUGAAGAAGGCCUUCGGGUUGUAAAGCACUUUCAGCGAGGAAGAACGCCUAGUGGUUAAUACCCAUUAGGAAAGACAUCACUCGCAGAAGAGCACCG